This is a long non-coding RNA of Salvia splendens (bonfire salvia), 272 nucleotides long. RefSeq lists it as uncharacterized. The transcript is spliced from 2 exons. NCBI's taxonomy places the organism in Eukaryota, Viridiplantae, Streptophyta, Magnoliopsida, Lamiales, Lamiaceae. The record is from RefSeq and is a predicted model, not a curated record.
CCGAAGUCGAAGGCGGCGGAGGCUUGCACGAGUAAGUGCUCUUCGACUUGCAUGCAAGGCGGUUACGGUUCCCCCGGUGAAGGCCCGUUUAAUAUCCGGAGACCACUAGUUGUUUUCAAAGAUGGAUUUCGUAGUCGAAAAUAUUGGUAAGUUGUUUUCAAUUGAAUCUCAAUUUACUAGUAUUACUUCAAUUUGCAAUUCACUUGUACUGAUUUAAUUAUAAAGUACGCAAAUUUUUCUCUAGUAAUGUAAUUUAAUUCCUCAUCCUUAUU